UUAAGCGACUAAGCGUACACGGUGGAUGCCCUGGCAGUCAGAGGCGAUGAAGGACGUGCUAAUCUGCGAUAAGCGUCGGUAAGGUGAUAUGAACCGUUAUAACCGGCGAUUUCCGAAUGGGGAAACCCAGUGUGUUUCGACACACUAUCAUUAACUGAAUCCAUAGGUUAAUGAGGCGAACCGGGGGAACUGAAACAUCUAAGUACCCCGAGGAAAAGAAAUCAACCGAGAUUCCCCCAGUAGCGGCGAGCGAACGGGGAGGAGCCCAGAGCCUGAAUCAGUGUGUGUGUUAGUGGAAGCGUCUGGAAAGGCGCGCGAUACAGGGUGACAGCCCCGUACACAAAAAUGCACAUACUGUGAGCUCGAUGAGUAGGGCGGGACACGUGGUAUCCUGUCUGAAUAUGGGGGGACCAUCCUCCAAGGCUAAAUACUCCUGACUGACCGAUAGUGAACCAGUACCGUGAGGGAAAGGCGAAAAGAACCCCGGCGAGGGGAGUGAAAAAGAACCUGAAACCGUGUACGUACAAGCAGUGGGAGCCUCUUU
RNAcentral lists this ribosomal RNA (544 nucleotides) under Escherichia coli. Its description in RNAcentral is "partial 23S ribosomal RNA". It matches the Rfam family "Bacterial large subunit ribosomal RNA", at positions 1 to 586 of the family's 2925-position model. Lineage: Bacteria; Pseudomonadati; Pseudomonadota; Gammaproteobacteria; Enterobacterales; Enterobacteriaceae. The record is from RNAcentral.